UGGGGAAUAUUGCACAAUGGGCGCAAGCCUGAUGCAGCCAUGCCGCGUGUAUGAAGAAGGCCUUCGGGUUGUAAAGUACUUUCAGCGGGGAGGAAGGGAGUAAAGUUAAUACCUUUGCUCAUUGACGUUACCCGCAGAAGAAGCACCGGCUAACUCCGUGCCAGCAGCCGCGGUAAUACGGAGGGUGCAAGCGUUAAUCGGAAUUACUGGGCGUAAAGCGCACGCAGGCGGUUUGUUAAGUCAGAUGUGAAAUCCCCGGGCUCAACCUGGGAACUGCAUCUGAUACUUGCAAGCUUGAGUCUCGUAGAGGGGGGUAGAAUUCCAGGUGUAGCGGUGAAAUGCGUAGAGAUCUAGAGGAAUACCGGUGGCGAAGGCGGCCCCCUGGACGAAAACUGACGCUCAGGUGCGAAAGCGUGGGGAGCAAACAGG
Molecule: ribosomal RNA, 429 nt
Filed under: Fusobacteriota bacterium
Lineage: Bacteria; Fusobacteriati; Fusobacteriota
Description: Fusobacteria bacterium partial 16S ribosomal RNA
Rfam family: Bacterial small subunit ribosomal RNA
Source: RNAcentral